RNAcentral lists this ribosomal RNA (461 nucleotides) under uncultured bacterium. RNAcentral's name for it is "partial 16S ribosomal RNA". It matches the Rfam family "Bacterial small subunit ribosomal RNA", at positions 338 to 795 of the family's 1533-position model. The record is from RNAcentral.
CCUACGGGUGGCAGCAGUGAGGAAUAUUGGUCAAUGGGCUUACGCCUGAACCAGCCAAGUCGCGUGAGGGAAGACUGCCCUAUGGGUUGUAAACCUCUUUUGUCAGGGAGCAACGCCGGCUACGUGUAGCCGGACUGAGAGUACCUGAAGAAAAAGCAUCGGCUAACUCCGUGCCAGCAGCCGCGGUAAUACGUAGGGGGCAAGCGUUAUCCGGAAUUACUGGGUGUAAAGGGAGCGUAGACGGUUAAGUAAGUCUGGAGUGAAAGGCCGGGGCCCAACCCCGGGACUGCUCUGGAAACUAUUGAACUUGAGUGCAGGAGAGGUAAGCGGAAUGCCUAGUGUAGCGGUGAAAUGCGUAGAUAUUAGGAGGAACACCAGUGGCGAAGGCGGCUUACUGGACUGUAACUGACACUGAGGCACGAAAGCGUGGGGAGCAAACAGGAUUAGAUACCCCAGUAGUC